This is a long non-coding RNA of Chinchilla lanigera (long-tailed chinchilla), 2149 nucleotides long. The record is from Ensembl. Lineage: Eukaryota; Metazoa; Chordata; Mammalia; Rodentia; Chinchillidae.
CUCCCGCCGCCGCUCCCCGGCCACAGCGAGGUCCCGUGCGGCGGCUCGGGGACAGACCAGAGGCCCCCGCCGGCUCCGGAGUCGCCGCGGCGGCUGUGACGCCCGAGGCCCCGCUCCCUCCGUAACACGCUCCCCUCCCCUGGAGGCUGCGCUGACCGGACAAUGGCCGCUCCGCCCCCUCCCCUCCGCGCGCACCCCUCCCAAGGAGUGGCGAUGGUCUUGCCCGGGGAAACCACCGCCAAAGCCCAGCAGCUGAUCAGCUGGGAUCCGGGCGUGCCACUUUGUUCCGCGCCUCGGAGUCCGGGGCCGUGGACAACGCCGAGAGCGUUGAGCAACGGGCUUCUGAGGCCUUCGUGUUCUAGGAACUUUCACAAUAUGAGGCAAACUUACCUUCCCCUGUCAGGGGAAGGGGACUCGGUUUCUGAGUACUCUGGGGCGCGUCACCCCCCCCCCGCAAAGCGAAUGGUACGCCCCAAGCGGGCGGGGGAGGAGCAGAUUAGUUGUUUAGGAUCCCAAAGGCUGAGGGCAAUAAGAUCUCACAAAGAACUGACACAAGGAGCUGACAUAUUAACAGGAAGCCAGAUCAAGUGUCCUAAAGAUCACAUAAGCCCAGAGCUGCUGUGGGACCUUCCAUAUGGUACAAGGCUGCCUGGGGAUCAACCCAACAAAGAGGAAGGAAGAGAAAGAGACUGAAUUACCAUAAAUCCAACUAAGUUUGAUGCCAAAACUGCCCUUUCGACUUUGCAGUUAUCUGCACCAAUAGAUACCUUUCCUUAUACACAUACUAUUUGGGUUAGACCUCAGUAUAUUUCUAUGAGAAAAGUCCUGACUAUUCCUAAUAAUAUCUACUUAUAUCAUGGGCUUAUUGUGAAGAUGAAAGUAUAUUAUUCAGGAGGAAAUGUUAGCAUAGUACAAACUCAUUAAACAUAUAUUAUUAUUUGUUUCUUUUUGAUAAUUGCUCAAUUCAGGUAUCCCAUCAUUCAUUCAUUUAUAUUUGUUUAUUCAUUCAACAGACACUUAAUGUUUUUUUUUUUUUUUGUCUUUUUGAGACAAGGUCUCCCUGUGCAGUUCAGUCUGGCCUCGAACUCACUUUGUAGCCCAGGCUGGCCUUGAACUUGCAAUGAUCCUCCUGCCUCAGCCUCUUGAGUGCUGGGAUUACAGGCAUGUGCCACCACACCCAGCAGCAGACACUUAUUGAGCACCUACUAUGUUAGGAACUAACAGAGGUAUUAAGGUACAGUCCAAAUGACACAUAAAUUUCCCUACUUUAGUGCUGCUUAUCCUGUAAUAGUAAUGCAAGCAAUUUUUUUCAAAUGUUUUAAAGAACAGAGCCCACUUUCCAUGUUUGUGAAUAAUUGCAGUGAACAUCUUGGCCUGUCUGUCCUAUUAAUAGCUUGGAUAUUUUUUUAAACAAGGUCUCAUUAUGUUGGCCAGGCUGGCCUCAAGCUCCUGGGUUUAAACCGUCUUCCUGCUCCAGUCUGGCAAGUAGUGGGAACUACAGACUUAAACCACCACCCCUGGCUUUUGGAUAAAUUUUUGUUUGUGUUUUGAAAUAGAGUCUCGUUAUGUAAUUCAGGUUGUUCUUGAACUCACUAUGUAGCCCAGGCUGACCUCCAACUCGCAGCAAUCCUCCUGCCUCGGUCUCCCAGAUGCUGGGAUUACAGGUGUACACCACCAUGCCUAGCUUUUUUGGAUAAGAUUUUUCUAAAAAAAAAUUGUGAUACUCUUUAACAUUCAUCACAUGUGGCCAAAUUUUGUUCCAGAAAGGUUCUGCCAACUCACACUCCUAGCAGUGAAUGAAAACAUAGGUUUCCUGCACCUCAGUAGCCUGAGGAUAGCGUUACUCUUCUCAAUCAUUGCCAAUGUAAAGACAAAACAAAACAAAAAAACCACUCCUAAAGGUUGUUUUAAUUUGCAUUUUUAUUGUUUGUUUGUUUUAUUUGCAUUUUUAGAGUUGUUGAGAUCUAGGCACACGUUAUAUAUAUAUAUGAUAUAUAUAUAUAUCUCAUAGAUGUAUUUGUAAAUAUAUACGUAUAUGUGUAUAAAUAUAUAUAAGUUCUUUAAAUUUUAUUUUUGUAAUGCCUUAUCUAUUUAUGUCCUUUAUCUGUUUUUCCAGGAGUAUGUUUUUUAUUAAAGACAUUAAUGCUCA